UACGAGGGGGGCUAGUGUUGUUCGGAAUCACUGGGCGUAAAGGGAGCGUAGGCGGGAGCCUAAGUUGGGUGUUUAAUUCCGGGGCCCAACCCCGGGCGUGCACUCAAAACUGGGUUUCUCGAAUAGGGGAGAGGUCGGUGGAAUUGGAGGUGUAGCGGUGGAAUGCGUAGAGAUCUCCAAGAACACCCGUUGCGAAGGCGGCCGACUGGACCCAUAUUGACGCUGAGGCUCGAAAGCAUGGGGAGCAAACAGG
RNAcentral lists this ribosomal RNA (253 nucleotides) under uncultured bacterium. RNAcentral describes it as "partial 16S ribosomal RNA". It matches the Rfam family "Bacterial small subunit ribosomal RNA", at positions 524 to 776 of the family's 1533-position model. The record is from RNAcentral.